Molecule: long non-coding RNA, 385 nt
Filed under: Anser brachyrhynchus (Pink-footed goose)
Lineage: Eukaryota; Metazoa; Chordata; Aves; Anseriformes; Anatidae
Description: lncRNA (ENSABRG00000013379.1)
Source: RNAcentral
GUUCAGUCUGCCUUACCUGACUGUCCUGGCCAUACAAAUGUGAAGGACAAGCACUUAAAUGAAACUGAUACUGUUCAAAGUGGAUAGUGCAUUGACCUGCCUUACAAAUGCAAGCAAAUCCUGGCUAAUGGUUCCAACUGGUAGCAGUGGCAUGCUCUGCCCUGCCACAGCAGGGCAGCUGUGUAGCAGUUUCUCCAGAGCUUGGUUUCCCCCGUGGGGUGACCUCUUUCCUAUCUCACUGAGAUAAAUUCUCCAGGAUUCUUGACCUGAUCUGAUGGAGGUGGCAACCAGGCUGCAGUUUUUAAAUCAGUAGUCUCCACACGAGCACACCGUCUAGCACAUAUUGUGCCUUUAAAAAUGAAAUAAACCACACCCCUGAAAUCCA